Molecule: microRNA precursor, 55 nt
Filed under: Dasypus novemcinctus (nine-banded armadillo)
Lineage: Eukaryota; Metazoa; Chordata; Mammalia; Cingulata; Dasypodidae
Description: miRNA (ENSDNOG00000041758.1)
Source: RNAcentral
UCAUGAGCUGCAACCUCAUCACUGGAAUAUUCCAGUGAUUGGACAAGCUGAGGAA